Molecule: ribosomal RNA, 492 nt
Filed under: uncultured bacterium
Lineage: Bacteria
Description: partial 16S ribosomal RNA
Rfam family: Bacterial small subunit ribosomal RNA
Source: RNAcentral
AGCGAACGCUGGCGGCAGGCCUAACACAUGCAAGUCGAACGGCAGCACAGUAAGUGCUUGCUCUUACGGGUGGCGAGUGGCGGACGGGUGAGGAAUACAUCGGAAUCUACUUUUUCGUGGGGGAUAACGUAGGGAAACCUACGCUAAUACCGCAUAUGACCUACGGGUGAAAGCAGGGGAUCUUUGGACCUUGUGCGAUUGAAUGAGCCGAUGUCGGAUUAGCUAGUUGGCGGGGUAAAGGCCAACCAAGGCGACGAUCCGUAGCUGGUCUGAGUGGAUGGUCAGCCACACUGGAACUGAGACAGGGUCCCGACUCCUACGGGAGGCCGCAGUGGGAAAUAUUGGACAAUGGGGGCAAGCCUGAUCCAGCCAUACCGCGUAGGUGAAGAAGGCCUCCGGGUUGGAAAGCCCUUUUGUUGGGAAAGAAAAGCAGCAGGUUAAUACCCCGCUGUUCUGACGGUACCCAGAGAAUAAGCACCGGCUAACUUCGUG